GUCAGCAGCCGCGGUAACACCGGCAGCUCUAGUGGUAGCUGUUUUAUUGGGCCUAAAGCGUUCGUAGCCGGUUUAAUAAGUCUCUGGUGAAAUCCUAUAGCUUAACUGUGGGAAUUGCUGGAGAUACUAUUAGACUUGAGAUCGGGAGAGGUCAGAGGUACUCCUGGGGUAAGGGGUGAAAUCCUGUAAUCCUAGGAGGACCACCUGUGGCGAAGGCGUCUGACUAGAACGAAUCUGACGGUGAGGAACGAAAGCUAGGGGCGCGAACCGGAUUAGAUACCCGGGUAGUCCUAGCCGUAAACUAUGCGGACUUGGUGUGAGGGUGGCUUUGAGCCGUCCUGGUGCCGAAGGGAAGCUGUUAAGUCCGCCGCCUGGGAAGUACGGUCGCAAGACUGAACUUAAAGGGAUUGGCGGGGGAGCACCACAACGCGUGGAGCCUUGCGGUUUAAUUGGAUUCAACGCCGGAGAUCUCACCAGCGGCGACAGCAGUAUGAUGACCAGGUUGAUGACUUUGUUUGACAAGCUGAGAAGAGGUGCAUGG
This 541-nucleotide ribosomal RNA is filed under the name uncultured archaeon. RNAcentral's name for it is "bacterial SSU rRNA". It matches the Rfam family "Archaeal small subunit ribosomal RNA", at positions 457 to 997 of the family's 1478-position model. The record is from RNAcentral.